Molecule: ribosomal RNA, 264 nt
Filed under: uncultured bacterium
Lineage: Bacteria
Description: partial 16S ribosomal RNA
Rfam family: Bacterial small subunit ribosomal RNA
Source: RNAcentral
AUUGAACGCUGGCGGCAGGCCUAACACAUGCAAGUCGAGCGGUAGAGAGGUGCUUGCAUCUCUUGAGAGCGGCGGACGGGUGAGUAAUGCCUAGGAAUCUGCCUAGUGGUGGGGGAUAACGUUCGGAAACGGACGCUAAUACCGCAUACGUCCUACGGGAGAAAGCGGGGGAGUCUUCGGACCUCGCGCCAUUAGAUGAGCCUAGGUCGGAUUAGCUAGUUGGUGAGGUAAUGGCUCACCAAGGCGACGAUCCGUAACUGGUCC